Molecule: RNA transcript, 6873 nt
Organism: Corythoichthys intestinalis (scribbled pipefish)
Lineage: Eukaryota; Metazoa; Chordata; Actinopteri; Syngnathiformes; Syngnathidae
Gene name: NACHT, LRR and PYD domains-containing protein 3-like
Exons: 13
Source: RefSeq, a predicted model, not a curated record
CUACUCUCUGUCAGUGUUUUCUACAACUGCAGUUUGUAAUAAAGAAACCUCCUCAUUGUACAUAGAUUUUCGAUGUCUUGGUUUCCCUGGGUAAUACCGAGGGCAACAUUAUAAAUCAUGUCUCAAAAUAUACCAAAUUCAGACGGUAAAAAUAUACUCGACGCCACGGAGCUUUUGCUUCACAUGCACGCAUGUGUACGCAAACAUGCACACAGCGAUGUGGGUGUGUCCUUACAAUGCAGGGUCAUUCGAGGUUUUUUCAGCUUUUUUUCCUUUCUUUUUGCAAAGAAUGCAGUGAGUCAGUCAGACGGUGAAGAGACAACAACAAGGACGAGACGAGAAGCUCGCGUAAGUACAGCUUCUUCCUUCAGUCGGUCACUUCCUGGGUUGGUUGUUCAGCUAUUAUUUCAUGCGAUCUCAGUUUAGUUCGAUUGGUCAGAUGUUGGUCAGCUUUUGCUAGUCGAUCAAUUGUACCGUUGGUAAGGAAGUUGAUUCGGUAUCUCCCCAGAUACCAAGUCAUAUAAACAUGCUAGUUUCGUUAUGAGUCGUAAUGGACUGCGAUAGUAAAUCAUGAAACGAUAAAUCGAUAGUAAGACAUGUUGUUAUUUGAAAUAUUUUCUACAUCUUAACAGGUCAUUUUGUAGCUAAAAAAAAGUUAGCAAUGUGUGUAGUUUUCCCGGCAAAUGCCUUUUGCGUCAUGUCACUCAAAUAGUUUACAGGCUGAAGUUACGAUAAGCGAUGAAAAGUUGUCAUUCACAGGUCUCCUCGCUCACAUGUUAACAAGGAGGAAGGAUGGUUCUCGACAGCGAGAAGAACUGCUGUUGGAAAGGCUGUUGCUAUCUCUAGUGCUCAGUUAAGAUAUCUGAUCGACGGUCAACUCCCUCACGUGUAUAUAAGUCCGAAGGAUGGCUCUGGACAGCAGACAUAGGGAACUGCUGUUGAACACGCUGAAGGAGCUGGGGGAGAAAGACUUCGAGGAAUUCAGGUUCCACACGGACCUGCCUCUAUGCAUACGUGAAAACGCCUGCCGGGUGUACAUUGCUGAAGAACUGAUAAAGAAGCACGCCGAGAACACUCUGGAUGAGACCGUCAAGAUUCUGGAGAAGAUCGGGAACAACAAUUUGGCCGAGAAGCUACGCAGUGACAUGCUGAAAAUAAAAGGUGCCGUCGUCUCCGUCCAUGAUGAUAAUCAGAUUAACCGAUUGAAGGGGAACCUGCAAGAACACUUGAAGGGUUUAUACAGCUUUGCAUCUGAGGGCACCACUGAGCGCUGGAAGCAGCAGUCUCUGGAGGAUGUCUACACGGAGCUGGACGUCACCUACGGGGCCGACGUCAUCCCCGACGAGCGGCACGAGGUCCUUCAGAUGGAGACCAGUGCCACUGCGGCAAAGGAGUCUAUCCUGCCAUGCGACAUCUUCAAAAGACCUGACGGGAACCGGCGACCGAUACGCACGAUGCUCACCGUCGGGUUUGCAGGAAUAGGAAAAACCUUCCUGAUUCAAAAGUUUGUGUCGGACUGGGCAAGUGGUUGUACCAACCAGGACGUGGACUUCAUAUUUCCUUUCACUUUCCGCGAGUUAAACAUGGAGAAAGGGGAGAGCUUUACGUUGGUCGAGCUGAUCCAAACUUUUGUCUGCGGAGACAGGCACAUGAGCGAGAGACUGAACAAUAUAUUUGUCAACCUGCAAACUUCUGGGAAGCGGGACUUUGAAAGCAGCGGGAUCAAGAUCUUGUUUAUCCUUGACGGACUGGACGAGUGCAACUUCAAAAUCGACUUGAAGAAAGUGAGGAAAGUGGACAUGGACGUGAGGGAAAGCUACCCGCUGGAGGUACUGUUGGCGUAUCUCAUCAAAGGGAACCUGCUUCCGUGCGCCAGGGUUUGGAUCACCACGCGGCCCGCGGCAGCCUGCGAUAUCCCCUCUGACCUCAUAGACAGCAGAACAGAGGUGAGAGGAUUCAGCGAUUCCCGGAAGCUGGAGUACUUCAGGAAAAAGUUCCCAAAUAAGGAGCACGUCGUUGAGCACAUUCAGAAAUCUCGAAAUAUCUUCAUCAUGUGCCACAUUCCAAUCUUCUGCUGGCUCACCGCCACAGUUCUUCAGCAUCAUUUAGACAAAGGGAAGAAGGGAGAGCUUCCCACAACGCUGACUGACAUGUACUCAGCGUUAAUAGGUCACCUACUGGAAAACUCCAAGGAGAGAAAUACAAAUAAGUACAUCCUUGACGUGAAAGCACUCGCAAAGCUGGCCUUUGACCACACCAUGAAUAACUGUCAGAUCUUCUACGAGAAAGACCUGGUGGACAGCGGUUUUGAUUACAGUCAAGCUGCAAAACACUCCGGAAUAUUCACUGAGGUCUUUAAGGAGGUCCCUCCGCUCAGGAGAAAGAAACAGAAGAUGUUUCAGUUCGUUCAUCUGACCAUCCAGGAGUAUAUGGCCGCAUUACACGUGAUGAUUUGCCUUUUUCAUGACAACAACAACAUUCUGGCUGGUUCAGAGCAGGAUUCAGUAUGGAAUAAAAUAUUCAUGACUUAUAAGCAGAGGACAAUCACUAAGGUCCACCAGUCAGCUCUCCAGAAAGCCUCGGAGAGUGAAGGAAACCUGGACCUAUUCCUCCGCUUCCUCUUUGGCCUCUCCUUGCCGUGCAACCAGGAACUCGUGGGGGAACUCCUGAAGGCUCCUCAGGACUGCGGGCAAAGCAAGUCAGAGACAGUCGAGUUGAUCAAGAAAAGGAUCAAACGAAACACUCCAGAGAAGAAUGUCAACUUGUUCUACUGCCUAAACGAGUUGAAGGACGACUCCUUGCUAAAGCAGAUCCAGCAGGAACUAGAUUCAGGAUGUCUGUCCUGGCUUAAAAUGUCAAAUGACAUGUGGUCGGCCCUGGCCUUUUUCUUACUGACAGACGAUGAAACCAUGAAGUCCUUCAAUCUUGCCAGCUUCUCCCAAUCGCCUUUGGGGCUCGAAAAGCUACUGUUGGUGGUCAAGGCUUCUAAAAAAUCAAGUCUAAGUAGAUGUCGCCUGGACAAAGGCAGCUGUCACCUGCUGGCUUCCGUUCUCAGUUCUCCAUCCAACCUGAGACAUCUGAAUCUGGGCUUGAACCAUCUGUCGGACGAGGGGGUGGAGAUUCUCUCAAAAGGACUGGCCAGCCCACACUGUAACUUAGAAGUCCUCUCUCUGGAAAAGUGCAAGAUCACCAGUAAGGGAUGUGUUUCAUUGGCUGAGGCACUGAAGGUAACCCCCUCCCAUCUUCAGGAGCUGGAGCUGAGGUGGAACGAUCUGUCGGAUGAAGGGGUCGAGAUCCUCUCGAAAGGACUGGCCAGCCCACACUGCAUCUUAAAAAUCCUAAAUCUUUUCAACAGCGGGAUCACCCACAAAGGAUGUUUUUCAUUGGCUGAGGCACUGAAGGUAACCCCCGCCCAUCUUGAAGAGCUGGACCUGAGCUACAACGAUCUGUUGGACAAGGGGGUCGAGAUCCUUUCGAAAGGACUGGCCAGCCCACACUGCAUCUUAAAAAUCCUCAAGCUGUACAAGUGCGGGAUCACCAGUAAAGGAUGUGUUUCAUUGGCCGAGGCACUGAAGGUAACCUCCUCCCAUCUUCAAGAACUGGACCUGAAAUACAACGAUCUGUCGGACAAGGGUGUCGAGAUCCUCUCGAAAGGACUGGCCAGCCCAAAUUGCAUCUUAAAAGUUCUCAACCUGUCCAAAUGUGGGAUCACCCAUAAAGGAUGUGUUUCAUUGGCCGAGGCACUCAAGGUAACCCCCUCCCAUCUUCAAGAGCUGGACCUGACCCGGAACAAUCUGUCGGAUGAAGGGGUUGAGAUCCUCUCGAAAGGACUGGCCAGCCCACACUCCAUCUUAAAAAUCCUCAAUCUGGAGCAGUGCGAGAUCACCAGUAAAGGAUGUGUUUCAUUGGCUGAGGCACUGACGGUAACCCCCUCCCAUCUUCAAGAGCUGGACCUGACCAGGAACGAUCUGUCAGACGAAGGGGUUGAGAUCCUCUCGAAAGGACUGGCCAGCCCACAUUGCAUCUUAAAAAUCCUCAAGCUGUCCUACUGUGGGAUCACCAGUAAAGGAUGUGUUUCAUUGGCUGAGGCUCUCAAGUUAAACCCCUCCCAUCUUCAAGAGUUGAAUCUCAGCAACAACCAAAUAGAGGAAAAACAAAAUAGGGUUUUAUUGGAGAUCAAGGAGGAUCCCAGCUAUAGCCUGAAGACUGUCAAAUUUAACCUGUGGGUCUAAGAACAACGUUUGGUCCUUGGCGUCAGGAAGGGCGAGUCAUUCCAAAUGUUCAUUAUUAGAAGACGUCGAGUAAGCCUGUCGCAAUAUGCAAUAAUUCCAUUUAUCGCGCGAUAUAUAAAAAUGAAGGCGGUAAUUUUCCCGCUGCGAUUUAUCGCCUCACGUGCACGUGUGUGCGCGCGUGCGGCAGACGUGCUGUUAAAAGUUCGUUACCAACUGCGCAAAAUGCAUCUUCGUUCCAGGUCCGGCAAAAACUAGUGCCAGAGCCAAUCGUUCCCAUUAUAUCCUAUUGUUCAACGUAUACCGGCCGCGUCAGUGCCCCGGAGUGACUGUGGACCAUCUAUGGCGCGCCGGUGUUGUUGACGUGUGGGCGCUCCCGUCAGGAGUGACAUUUCACGCGGGGCGGCUAUUUUUCGGCACAACGCUGGAUAUUUACAACGAAGUCCGCCAAAACAUUGUUACCGAUUUGGCUGCUACGAAUAACCUCACUUUGACAACGAACAGCUGAAUGAAAUUAAGAGCGCUGUGCUUCAAACUCGUCCUGUUUAUGAAAGCCGUCAUAUGCUUGCGCGCACACACUAGAUAUCAUGAAAUGGCAAACUAGAUGUGCUACGUUCCAUGCCAUUGGCUACGUGAGCCCAGAGUGAUUAUGGGACGUGUAGUCCAUAUACUACAUCGCUGAAUUCUAAACUGUCAUUUGUCACAUGAGGUUAAGAAGGCCAAAUCAAUCCAUACCAGUGACUAUAGAUAAUGUUGCAAAUAUUGUUAAUUCAGUACGUGACACAGAUGGAUUCGGACCAUAAAUAGGAUGUCUUGCUCAUGUAGUAAACCUAGCUGCUAAGAGAGCUGUAGAAAUCAACGGUGUGCCCUGCCUCACUUUACAAACAGUAAAGAUUGUUCUCAGCACUUUUAUACAAUUUUUUUUCAUAUCAGUAAGAAGUAAGCACGUAAAUAUUAUGCACUAAAAUGCAUGUUUAUAUGACGGCAAUUUAAUUUUUGCUCAUUAGCAAAAAAAAAAAAAAAAAAAAAAAAUACAAUUUUUUUUUUUUUUUACAGAGUAUUAAAUGUAUUGAAUCGGCUCAAAAUUCGUGUCCCCCAUAUCAAAAUUCGUAUUAAAUGCUUAAGUUAUUAAGUGCAAUUUUUUUUAAUUAAACACAUUUUAUUUAUUCUGUGUUUCUGUGCGGUAUCAAUAUUGUUGUUUUUUACUUAAGAGGCAGGGUCUAUUGUUUUUAGUUGUGAUUUCUUAAAAAGUAUAUUUGAAUUUAAGAGUAAAUAUUAAUUGUGUUUAAAUGGGUGUACUUGAUCUAUUAAUAUAUACUGUAUUCGCACUGUGUUAUUGUAAAUUGGUUAAAAAAAAUUGGGGGGGGGGGCGCAAUAAUAUCGCAUAUCGCAAUAAUUUAUGAGAAUAAUUAUCGCACACUAAAAUUUGUUAUUGCGACAGGCCUAACGUCGAGUCCAUUUGGUCUCCUUCAGAUUUAGUUCGGUCUCACGUACUCUCUGGCAAUUGCUAGAGGACCGGGUGUCGGCACUACGGGCAAAGCGGCCUCGCUCACAGAAUUCGAGGAAGUCGUCGUCGGGUUCUUUGCAGCCACAUGGAGGUGGAGUUCAAGGGGAAGGUCUACGACGUUCCCACCAAACUGCUGGCAGUUGUAUUCAUCCAUUUGUAUUGGAAGGGGCUGUCCAAAUGGAUUGGACUCUAGAGCAUCAUCAAUGGCAGCCAUCUGUCCAAAUGCGAGAUCACCAUUAAAGGAUGUGUGUCUUUGGCCGAGGCUUUCAAGUUAAACCCCUCCCAUCUUCAAAAGUUAUUUCUCAUCAACAAUCGAAUAGAGGAAAAAGAAAAGAGGGUCUUAUUGAGGAUCGAAGAGGAUCCCAGCUAUAGCCUGAAGACUGUCAAAUUUAAAUGGGAAUAAGAACAACGUUUGGUUCUUUGCGUCAACAAGGGAGAGUCGUUCCAAAUGUUCAUUAUUUGAAGACGUUGAGUCCAUUUGGUCUCCUACGGAUUUAGUUCGGUCUCAGGUACGCUCCGAUGAUUGCAAGAGAACCAGGUGUCGGUGCUAGGGGCAAAGCAGUCUCGCUCACAGAAUUUGAGGAGAUCGUCGUCGGGUUCUUUGCAGUGACGAGGGGAAGGUCUAUGACGUUCCUACUAAACUGCUGGCAGUUGUUUUCAUCCAUUUGUACUGGGAGGGGCUGUCCAAAAGGAUUGGACUUUAAGCACCCUCAAUGGCAGCCAAUGAGUUCAAUAAGUACCCUUAAAAGGGUUAACUUAGGUUUUUCACAAAUUUAAAAGAAAAUGUCAUGAGUACACUUGAAAUAGUUUCGCUCAUUUUGACAUCAAUUUUUUUAAAUUUGAUCAUUUUCACUUCUUUGUUUAAAAUGUUGUUUUGAAUGAGAACAUUAAAAACCUAACUUAAAAUAAUUGCCUUUAAAAAUCAUCGAACAAUUAAAAAAAACUUGAAUUAAUACACUGGAAACGUUUCAAUUGUUCUCACUAUUGCAGCAGCGGGGGAGAGACGAGGCAGCGAAAAGAGUUCUGAAUCUACGACGAGUGGCCAAUGAGGAGCCUGUGUGCUAGAAGGCGAAGGACCAAGCAAUGUCACUUCCCGUUCAGUUAUAUUGCCAAGCAGUCUUUGGGAUUUGUUUGGCA